ACUGCAGAUUGUGCAAUUGUGUGGUUGAGUGUGCACAUAAAAAAUGAUUUUGAUUUUUUUCCAGCUUGGCUUUCACUGUCCUUGAGCAUGUGGUCACUUGUUCGAUUAAUUUUGUUAUUCAUUUGGUUUCACUCUUUAUAUAUGGGCAAUGCUUUAUUUACCAUACUAGAACGAUUGUAAAACAAUUGUUUAUUCAUAUAUCACUAGGCUAAUGAAUACCAUGUUGGUUGUAAGCAUGUUAUUGGUUCUGUGAGUUGCAG
Molecule: long non-coding RNA, 260 nt
Filed under: Sorghum bicolor (sorghum)
Lineage: Eukaryota; Viridiplantae; Streptophyta; Magnoliopsida; Poales; Poaceae
Description: long non-coding RNA (SBIC_LNC017365)
Source: RNAcentral